Molecule: small nuclear RNA, 102 nt
Organism: Naja naja (Indian cobra)
Lineage: Eukaryota; Metazoa; Chordata; Lepidosauria; Squamata; Elapidae
Source: Ensembl
GCUAUACUUUGAUAAGACACAUAUUACAAUUGGAACAGAGAGAAGAUUAGCAUGCCAAUGCACACAGAUGGCAUGCAAAUUUAUGAAUUGUUCCAUAUUAUU